GACGAACGCUGGCGGCGUGCUUAACACAUGCAAGUCGAACGGUGAACCUCUUCGGAGGGGAUCAGUGGCGAACGGGUGAGUAACACGUGGGCAACCUGCCCCCGGCUCUGGGAUAACUCCAAGAAAUUGGGGCUAAUACCGGAUGUUCACCGCUUCCCGCAUGGGUGGUGGUGGAAAGGGUUUCCGGCGGGGGAUGGGCCCGCGGCCUAUCAGCUGGUUGGUGGGGUAGUGGCCUACCAAGGCGACGACGGGUAGCCGGCCUGAGAGGGUGACCGGCCACACUGGGACUGAGACACGGCCCAGACUCCUACGGGAGGCAGCAGUGGGGAAUAUUGCGCAAUGGGCGGAAGCCUGACGCAGCGACGCCGCGUGGGGGAUGACGGCCUUCGGGUUGUAAACCUCUUUCAGCAGGGACGAAGCGCAAGUGACGGUACCUGCAGAAGAAGCACCGGCCAACUACGUG
This 463-nucleotide ribosomal RNA is filed under the name uncultured bacterium. RNAcentral's name for it is "partial 16S ribosomal RNA". It matches the Rfam family "Bacterial small subunit ribosomal RNA", at positions 28 to 507 of the family's 1533-position model. The record is from RNAcentral.